Glossina fuscipes is the source of this 1117-nucleotide long non-coding RNA. RefSeq lists it as uncharacterized. The record is from RefSeq and is a predicted model, not a curated record. NCBI's taxonomy places the organism in Eukaryota, Metazoa, Arthropoda, Insecta, Diptera, Glossinidae. The transcript is spliced from 3 exons.
UUACAAGGAAUUGAAUUUCUUGAGUAUUCUCCUAAAAAGGCAUUAUGGGAAAUGCAAAUUUCUCAUCGAAGUUUGCUUAUUUGGUUUGCUGCAUGGAACUUUCUUAAUAUAACUUAUGUUCAAUUCAUUUCGAUAAAAUGCAUAGAUUGUUGUCUAAGCCCAUAAAAUCUUCUGUGCUAAUAGGCGUGCAAGUUAAAGCACACAUGCUUUACAUUUAAUGGCAGGGAUUACCUUCAUAUUUUAUGUUAAUAUUUUUGCUUUAGUUACAGCUCUAUAAAUACGGCAUUAAAUUAAUAUGCUUUUCUGGGGAUUACAUGCGUUAGAGUUCUGCAUUAUUGCAGCAAUACUUCAAUUCGCUGAGGAUGGUGCUCGAUAAUUGCUUGCUUCAACACCUUUACUAACUUAAUGGAUAUGGAAGUAACCGUUCCAAAAGUGCUCUCUUAGUUCAAUUAACCCCUCGUUAAUUUAGUCUGACAUAACUCUGAUGUAUCACUGAUUAGGAACCGUCUUUAAUAAACCAGCGUGCAGCAGUUUCGUAGUGAUCUAUACAAUAAAUAAGAAGUUCACAUGCUUGUAUGCUCUGAAACUACGAAGACGGAAAUUCUGGCCACUCCAAUAUUUAUUGCAUCCGUUUGAGGUUAAGAAUCUCGUUCUGUAAGGUAAAAGUAGUUAUAACAUUUGUGUCAAAUGAGAAAAUAAAAAAAAAAAAAAUUAAUCUUUUCUUAUAAAUUGAUUCUCUAUCUAAUAUUACGCUAAUUACGUGAUUUAAACAUUGCCAAGUUAUAUCCCUUACAUUGAGAUUAUUAUCGGAAGUCUUUCAUGUAAUUUGUACAAAGCAAACUCAAUCAUUAAAUGAGUUACACGAUUUGUUUUUUGCGUGGGUCUUAAAAAUCCUGUCUCUUCCCAUCUGCUUUUGAAAAUAUUAUGUGUUGAUGAAAUUAAUUGAAGUUUGGGUUGCUCUCCCAUUGUUCCAAGCUCAACCCAUUUAUUAAAUUCGAAUAUGUUUUUCAAGAUCUUCAAGAAGUAUAUUUACGCGGGUUCCUCCUAUUUAAUCAUCACCGAAGGAUGAGGGCUAUAUUCAUUUUGUCCAAAGGUUUGCAACGCCCAGAAGCAAGCA